GACGAACGCUGGCGGCGUGCUUAACACAUGCAAGUCGAACGGAAAGGCCCUUCUUUUGUGGGGUGCUCGAGUGGCGAACGGGUGAGUAACACGUGAGUAACCUGCCCUUGACUUUUGGAUAACUUCAGGAAACUGGGGCUAAUACCGGAUAGGAGCUCCUGCUGCAUGGUGGGGGUUGGAAAGUUUCGGCGGUUGGGGAUGGACUCGCGGCUUAUCAGCUUGUUGGUGGGGUAGUGGCUUACCAAGGCUUUGACGGGUAGCCGGCCUGAGAGGGUGACCGGCCACAUUGGGACUGAGAUACGGCCCAGACUCCUACGGGAGGCAGCAGUGGGGAAUAUUGCACAAUGGGCGGAAGCCUGAUGCAGCAACGCCGCGUGCGGGAUGACGGCCUUCGGGUUGUAAACCGCUUUCGCAUGUGACGAAGCGUGAGUGACGGUAAUGGGUAAAGAAGCACCGGCUAACUACGUG
Molecule: ribosomal RNA, 468 nt
Filed under: uncultured bacterium
Lineage: Bacteria
Description: partial 16S ribosomal RNA
Rfam family: Bacterial small subunit ribosomal RNA
Source: RNAcentral